GAGUAACACGUGGAUAACCUACCUAUAAGACUGGGAUAACUUCGGGAAACCGGAGCUAAUACCGGAUAAUAUUUUGAACCGCAUGGUUCAAAAGUGAAAGACGGUCUUGCUGUCACUUAUAGAUGGAUCCGCGCUGCAUUAGCUAGUUGGUAAGGUAACGGCUUACCAAGGCAACGAUGCAUAGCCGACCUGAGAGGGUGAUCGGCCACACUGGAACUGAGAC
Molecule: ribosomal RNA, 223 nt
Filed under: Staphylococcus aureus
Lineage: Bacteria; Bacillati; Bacillota; Bacilli; Caryophanales; Staphylococcaceae
Description: partial 16S ribosomal RNA
Rfam family: Bacterial small subunit ribosomal RNA
Source: RNAcentral